This is a long non-coding RNA of Silurus meridionalis, 1007 nucleotides long. RefSeq lists it as uncharacterized. The transcript is spliced from 2 exons. The record is from RefSeq and is a predicted model, not a curated record. Lineage: Eukaryota; Metazoa; Chordata; Actinopteri; Siluriformes; Siluridae.
UUCGCCGACACGCCCGCACCCUCCCGUAUAUCGCACAUCUCAAUGCGACCGAUUCCCACCUGGCUAGGCCUAAACACCGUCACCCAGAUCUUCCUCCAGAUCUUCUAUUCAUCACACAAGGACACAGUAACGUGGAAAGAAAGAUUGGUGCAGAGUCGGCGCAUAUUUCACCCAAGCAGAGAAAAAUAUCACCGGCCAAAGAGUCACCCGAGGUGAGAUGAUGGGAGGGGGCGGGGCUGCCAAACUGUCAAUCAUUCCACAUAUGUUAAUUGGCACAUCCGCGGAUUAUACGGGGCAUAACUCAUCGCUGGAAACUAAUUAUAUUAAAUAAGACAUAAGCAAAAGUACGGGUUUUCAUAAACGACAAGUAUAAACAUUCAGAUUCAUUUUAAUGACUUUUUACAUCAAAUGCAGGAAAACUACUGAAGUGGUAUUUACAAUAUCAAAAAUAUAACAACAUUAUGGACUUACUUUCCUCACAGAAUAUAGAAAGAAUAAUUUAAUAAUAAACGGUUUUAAAAAUAAAACUGGUACUUAUUACAGUGGGGUGUAAUUUUGUUUUUUAUAUAUAAUUUUCCAUAACGUUAAUAACAGCACAUUGAAAAGAAAAAACAAUUGUGUCUCUUGCUACUACAAGCCCCUGCUGAAUCAUCCGCCCAGAGGUCACCAUGUAAUUGCCACGUGAAAACACUGCUAUUAAAUUGCACACACACGUUCACAUGUACGUGGCUUCACAUUCUGUAGUUAGACUCUUGGACAGUCAUAACGCAGCUCAGAUGAAAACGUCCCACAGGUAGAAGGCAGCCGUAGAACAGAAGGUAAAAUGGGUCAGUAGACACGUUUAAUACGCACUUUUUCUUUUUUAUUACAAGUGCUGCCAUAGUGACAACAAAAUUCCAACAAGUUCUAUCAUUCCUUUUUUUUUUUUUUUUUCUUCACCAGAACGGAACCUUAAAUACUCCAGGAACACAUGCAGAAAGACAUCAACGCUCCCGGAAGUGAGGAAA